RNAcentral lists this ribosomal RNA (247 nucleotides) under uncultured bacterium. RNAcentral's name for it is "partial 16S ribosomal RNA". It matches the Rfam family "Bacterial small subunit ribosomal RNA", at positions 523 to 769 of the family's 1533-position model. The record is from RNAcentral.
AUACGUAGGUGGCGAGCGUUGUCCGGAAUUACUGGGCGUAAAGGGCGCGUAGGCGGCCUGUUAAGUCAGAUGUGAAACCCCCAGGCUCAACUUGGGGAUUGCAUAUGAAACUGAUGGGCUCGAGUGUCGGAGAGGAAAGCGGAAUUCCUAGUGUAGCGGUGAAAUGCGUAGAUAUUAGGAGGAACACCAGUGGCGAAGGCGGCUUUCUGGACGAUAACUGACGCUGAGGCGCGAAAGCGUGGGGAGC